GUGGUGACACUAAAUAGAUUGUCGUAGAUCAUGACCUAUGUUAGCCAUCGAUUUGUAUGGUUUACCAUAGACUUACACCUUUAUUAGUGAAUCAACUGAUAUCCUGAUUAUGCGUAGACUACCGUGAUCUAUGUACACAUCUAUAGACCAUCAGGUGGAGGUAGUUAAAAAAUAAAUAAUUAAAUAAAAAAAAUUAAAAAGAUAACAGUAACAUGUUUUGGGG
This 223-nucleotide long non-coding RNA is filed under the name Capsicum annuum. RNAcentral describes it as "long non-coding RNA (CANN_LNC018956)". Lineage: Eukaryota; Viridiplantae; Streptophyta; Magnoliopsida; Solanales; Solanaceae. The record is from RNAcentral.